UAGAUUGAAGCCAGUUGNNNUAGGCGUUUAGCUGUUAACUAAAUGUUUGUAGGUUUAAAUCCUGCCAAUCUAG
Molecule: transfer RNA, 73 nt
Filed under: Dremomys rufigenis rufigenis
Lineage: Eukaryota; Metazoa; Chordata; Mammalia; Rodentia; Sciuridae
Description: tRNA-Asn
Rfam family: tRNA
About the family: Transfer RNA (tRNA) molecules are approximately 80 nucleotides in length.
Source: RNAcentral